RNAcentral lists this ribosomal RNA (106 nucleotides) under Candidatus Cryptobacteroides excrementavium. The record is from RNAcentral. Lineage: Bacteria; Pseudomonadati; Bacteroidota; Bacteroidia; Bacteroidales.
UACAGCUCCGGGGAUCCACCUCUACCCAUACCGAACAGAGAAGUUAAGCCCGGACGCGCCGAUGGUACUGCCCGAGGGCGGGUGGGAGAGUAGGUUGCUGCCGCAU